AGUGAACGCUGGCGGUAGGCCUAACACAUGCAAGUCGAACGGCAGCACAGUAAGAGCUUGCUCUUACGGGUGGCGAGUGGCGGACGGGUGAGGAAUACAUCGGAAUCUACUUUUUCGUGGGGGAUAACGUAGGGAAACUUACGCUAAUACCGCAUACGACCUACGGGUGAAAGCAGGGGAUCUUCGGACAUUGCGCGAUUGAAUGAGCUGAUGUCGGAUUAGCUAGUUGGCGGGGUAAAGGCCCACCAAGGCGACGAUCCGUAGCUGGUCUGAGAGGAUGAGCAGCCACACUGGAACUGAGUCACGAUCCGGACUCCUACGGGAAGCAGCAGUCUGGAAGAUUGAACAAUAAGCGCAAGCCUUAUGCAGCCAUACCGAGUGGGUGUAGAAAACCUUCGGAGUCUAAUGCUCGUUUUUUGGGUAAUAAGGGCAGCAGCUUAAUUUCCCACCGAUCUGAGGGUACCCAGAGUAUGAGCCCCAGGCAAAUUCGAG
Molecule: ribosomal RNA, 492 nt
Filed under: uncultured bacterium
Lineage: Bacteria
Description: partial 16S ribosomal RNA
Rfam family: Bacterial small subunit ribosomal RNA
Source: RNAcentral